Molecule: long non-coding RNA, 426 nt
Filed under: Musa acuminata (dwarf banana)
Lineage: Eukaryota; Viridiplantae; Streptophyta; Magnoliopsida; Zingiberales; Musaceae
Description: long non-coding RNA (MACU_LNC004905)
Source: RNAcentral
CGGUAGAGGAUGGAGUUCCAGUUGCAGUCGAAGUCCCGGAAGCACAGCCAUGGCUUCAGCCCCAGGUAGUGCAGAACGUAGAGGCCCGGCGUGUCAGCCUUGAACAGCUUCGUCUUCUUCGCUUUGACCUCCUCGGUGUCGCCCUCCCAGAAAUGCUUCAGGAAGUUAAUGUGCCUCGGAAUCCGGUGCCACCAUGUGAAGAUCUCGUUCAGGUAGCCCUGAUCCCCUCCGUUGUAAGACGUUAUCUCGUUGAUGUGAUCCAUCAGCAGCUGGAACGUGCAGUUGCAGGGCUCCACGACCAUCACGCCGGAGUUGAAGAUGGUCGCGUUGUUGCCCGUCGCGGAGAUCUCUGGCAUCCCGAACAAGAAGUCGAUGUUCCUCAGAAUCAGCAGGUCGGCGUCGAUGAAGAUGACCUUGUCGUACUCG